Molecule: non-coding RNA, 29 nt
Filed under: Rattus norvegicus (Norway rat)
Lineage: Eukaryota; Metazoa; Chordata; Mammalia; Rodentia; Muridae
Source: RNAcentral
UGGCCUCGAACACACUCUGUCGACCAGGC